GUCGAGCGAGAAUUUACGAAUGAAAUUUCGAUGGAUUUUGUAAAUGGAAAGCGGCGGACGGGUGAGUAACGCGUAGGUAACCUGCCCCAUACAGAGGGAUAGCCACUGGAAACGGUGAUUAAUACCUCAUAAAACUGAGAAUACACAUGUAUGCUCAGCCAAAGAUUUAUCGGUAUGGGAUGGACCUGCGUCUGAUUAGUUAGUUGGUGAGGUAACGGCUCACCAAGGCGACGAUCAGUAGCCGACCUGAGAGGGUGAUCGGCCACAUUGGAACUGAGACACGGUCCAAACUCCUACGGGAGGCAGCAGUGGGGAAUAUUGCACAAUGGGCGAAAGCCUGAUGCAGCAACGCCGCGUGAACGAAGAAGGCUCUUGGGUCGUAAAGUUCUGUUCUGAGGGAAGAAGAAAGUGACGGUACCUCAGGAGAAAGCCCCGGCUAACUACGUGCCAGCAGCCGCGGUAAUACGUAGGGGGCAAGCGUUGUCCGGAAUUAUUGGGCGUAAAGAGUACGUAGGCGGUCUGUUAAGCGCAAGGUGAAAGGCAUAGGCUCAACCAAUGUGAGCCUUGCGAACUGGCAGACUUGAGUGCAGGAGAGGAAAGCGGAAUUCCUAGUGUAGCGGUGAAAUGCGUAGAUAUUAGGAGGAACACCGGUGGCGAAGGCGGCUUUCUGGACUGAAACUGACGCUGAGGUACGAAAGCGUGGGGAGCAAACAGGAUUAGAUACCCUGGUAGUCCACGCUGUAAACG
RNAcentral lists this ribosomal RNA (747 nucleotides) under uncultured bacterium. Its description in RNAcentral is "bacterial SSU rRNA". It matches the Rfam family "Bacterial small subunit ribosomal RNA", at positions 61 to 808 of the family's 1533-position model. The record is from RNAcentral.